GCAGAUAUGGCUCAGUGGUAGAGUGUGUAUUUAGCAUGCAUGAGUUCCUGGGUUCAAUCCCUAGUGCCUCCA
RNAcentral lists this transfer RNA (72 nucleotides) under Camelus bactrianus (Bactrian camel). It matches the Rfam family "tRNA". Rfam says of the family: Transfer RNA (tRNA) molecules are approximately 80 nucleotides in length. Their secondary structure includes four short double-helical elements and three loops (D, anti-codon, and T loops). Further hydrogen bonds mediate the characteristic L-shaped molecular structure. tRNAs have two regions of fundamental functional importance: the anti-codon, which is responsible for specific mRNA codon recognition, and the 3' end, to which the tRNAs corresponding amino acid is attached (by aminoacyl-tRNA synthetases). tRNAs cope with the degeneracy of the genetic code in two manners: having more than one tRNA (with a specific anti-codon) for a particular amino acid; and 'wobble' base-pairing, i.e. permitting non-standard base-pairing at the 3rd anti-codon position. Lineage: Eukaryota; Metazoa; Chordata; Mammalia; Artiodactyla; Camelidae. RNAcentral also lists the same sequence under 1 other name. The record is from Rfam by way of RNAcentral.